AUUGAACGCUGGCGGAAUGCUUUACACAUGCAAGUCGAACGGCAGCAUAGAGAGCUUGCUCUCUGAUGGCGAGUGGCGAACGGGUGAGUAAUAUAUCGGAACGUGCCUAGUAAUGGGGAAUAACUAGCUGAAAGGUUAGCUAAUGCCGCAUACGACCUACGGGUGAAAGCAGGGGAUCUUCGGACCUUGCGUUAUUAGAGCGGCCGAUAUCUGAUUAGCUUGUUGGUGGGGUAAUGGCCUACCAAGGCGACGAUCAGUAGCUGGUCUGAGAGGACGAUCAGCCACACUGGAACUGAGACACGGUCCAGACUCCUACGGGAGGCAGCAGUGGGGAAUUUUGGACAAUGGGGGCAACCCUGAUCCAGCCAUUCCGCGUGAGUGAAGAAGGCCUUCGGGUUGUAAAGCUCUUUCGCAAGAGAAGAAAACUUGUUAUCUAAUAAAUAGUAAGCAUGACGGUAUCUUGACAAGAAGCACCGGCUAACUACGUGCCAGCAGCCGCGGUAAUACGUAGGGUGCAAGCGUUAAUCGGAAUUACUGGGCGUAAAGCGUGCGCAGGCAGUUUUAUAAGUCAGAUGUGAAAUCCCCGAGCUCAACUUGGGAACUGCGUUUGAAACUGUAAGACUAGAGUGUGUCAGAGGGGGGUAGAAUUCCAAGUGUAGCAGUGAAAUGCGUAGAGAUUUGGAGGAAUACCAAUGGCGAAGGCAGCCCCCUGGGAUAACACUGACGCUC
This 729-nucleotide ribosomal RNA is filed under the name bacterium IMCC8621. RNAcentral's name for it is "bacterial SSU rRNA". It matches the Rfam family "Bacterial small subunit ribosomal RNA", at positions 28 to 748 of the family's 1533-position model. The record is from RNAcentral.